This 224-nucleotide long non-coding RNA is filed under the name Lathyrus oleraceus (garden pea). Its description in RNAcentral is "Pisum sativum (pea) long non-coding RNA (PSAT_LNC018301)". Lineage: Eukaryota; Viridiplantae; Streptophyta; Magnoliopsida; Fabales; Fabaceae. The record is from RNAcentral.
UGAAUUAAGGUCUUUCCUGUUCUUUUCCACCUUUCCUUAUGGGAUAAAAGAAAAGUCGGUGGCGACUCUUGCUAACCGCGACAUUGCGAUUAAAAAUCCAUUAAAGUCCAGUUCACCGUAUGACAGAACUGGCGACUCUGCUGGGGACUACAAAGAGAGGUCCAUCUUAAAAAAAAAAAAAACCAUUCAUGUUUUCCUAAUUGUUCCUUCGUUUUAAAGGUAUU